This is a non-coding RNA of Podarcis lilfordi (Lilford's wall lizard), 74 nucleotides long. The record is from the annotation of a GenBank genome assembly. Lineage: Eukaryota; Metazoa; Chordata; Lepidosauria; Squamata; Lacertidae.
GGCAGGGUGGUGCAGUGGUUAGGAUGUCAGAGACUAGUACCCGGGAGAUCAGGGUUCAAAUCCCCACUCAGCCA